This 309-nucleotide ribosomal RNA is filed under the name uncultured bacterium. Its description in RNAcentral is "bacterial SSU rRNA". It matches the Rfam family "Bacterial small subunit ribosomal RNA", at positions 30 to 334 of the family's 1533-position model. The record is from RNAcentral.
AUUGACGGCUGGCGACGAGGCCUAACACAUGCAAGUCGAGCGGUAGCACAGAGAGCUUGCUCUCGGGUGACGAGCGGCGGACAGGUGAGUAAUGUCUGGGAAACUGCCUGAUGGAGGGGGAUAACUACUGGAAACGGUAGCUAAUACCGCAUAAUGUCGCAAGACCAAAGUGGGGGACCUUCGGGCCUCAUGCCAUCAGAUGUGCCCAGAUGGGAUUAGCUAGUAGGUGGGGUAACGGCUCACCUAGGCGACGAUCCCUAGCUGGUCUGAGAGGAUGACCAGCCACACUGGAACUGAGACACGGUCCAG